This 611-nucleotide unclassified non-coding RNA is filed under the name Anthoxanthum odoratum. RNAcentral describes it as "partial external transcribed spacer". Lineage: Eukaryota; Viridiplantae; Streptophyta; Magnoliopsida; Poales; Poaceae. The record is from RNAcentral.
UUUGUGCGGCCGACUAUUGGCGCCGUGUCUUGCCAUUUGUGUGAGCUAUCUUACUUUGCCUUUCAAGUGCUUGCGUGAUGUUACCUGACCUAUGGGUAUUGGUGCUUCAUACAUAGUUGCCUCGUGGUGGACGCCUUUGGGUGUGCUGCUGCGGCCGUAUGGCGAUUGUGGCGUUGCCUCGUGGUGCUGUUUCUUCUGGCCGGUGCUAUCAAGGCAGCCUUGCUCUCGUUAUUGGUUUUGGAUGUCGCUCAUGAUAUAUAUCCUCGUGGCCCAUUUGGUUGCCUCGGGGCCUGACCCUAAGAACGCUCUCCGACUUUGAGAACAUCGUUGAACGAAUGUUGCCUCUACCUUUCCACAACUAGUGGCAGGAUUACGCAGCAUACUCGAGUCCGAUCCCCAAAUAAGUCGGACGAGCAAGACCCUAAGAAUGCUCUCCGACUUUGAGAACAUCGUUGAAGGAAUGUUGCCUCUACCUUUCCACAUCAAGUGGCAGGAGUACGCAGCAUACUCUAUUCCGAUCCCCAAAUAAGUCGGAUGAGCUUGGCCCGCUCAACAGCGACAACCGGCCCGAUUGUUGCCUCUGCAUUGCCACGCAAGUGGCGGUGGGUGGG